This 69-nucleotide transfer RNA is filed under the name Capra hircus (goat). It matches the Rfam family "tRNA". From Rfam's summary of the family: Transfer RNA (tRNA) molecules are approximately 80 nucleotides in length. Their secondary structure includes four short double-helical elements and three loops (D, anti-codon, and T loops). Further hydrogen bonds mediate the characteristic L-shaped molecular structure. tRNAs have two regions of fundamental functional importance: the anti-codon, which is responsible for specific mRNA codon recognition, and the 3' end, to which the tRNAs corresponding amino acid is attached (by aminoacyl-tRNA synthetases). tRNAs cope with the degeneracy of the genetic code in two manners: having more than one tRNA (with a specific anti-codon) for a particular amino acid; and 'wobble' base-pairing, i.e. permitting non-standard base-pairing at the 3rd anti-codon position. The record is from Rfam by way of RNAcentral. RNAcentral also lists the same sequence under 1 other name. Lineage: Eukaryota; Metazoa; Chordata; Mammalia; Artiodactyla; Bovidae.
CCUGAUAGCUCAGCUGGUAGAGAAUCGGCCUGCAAUGCAGGAGACCCUGGUUCGAUUCCUGGGUCAGGA